RNAcentral lists this ribosomal RNA (250 nucleotides) under uncultured Planctomycetia bacterium. Its description in RNAcentral is "partial 16S ribosomal RNA". It matches the Rfam family "Bacterial small subunit ribosomal RNA", at positions 524 to 773 of the family's 1533-position model. Lineage: Bacteria; Pseudomonadati; Planctomycetota; Planctomycetia. The record is from RNAcentral.
GACGAACCGUGCGAACGUUGUUCGGAAUCACUGGGCUUAAAGGGCGCGUAGGCGGGCCACCAAGUCUGGGGUGAAAGCCCCCGGCUCAACCGGGGAAUUGCCUGGGAUACUGGUGGUCUGGAGGGAGGUAGGGGCAGCGGGAACUUCCGGUGGAGCGGUGAAAUGCGUUGAUAUCGGAAGGAACGCCGGUGGCGAAAGCGCGCUGCUGGACCUCUUCUGACGCUGAGGCGCGAAAGCCAGGGGAGCGAAC